Molecule: ribosomal RNA, 253 nt
Filed under: uncultured bacterium
Lineage: Bacteria
Description: partial 16S ribosomal RNA
Rfam family: Bacterial small subunit ribosomal RNA
Source: RNAcentral
UACGAAGGGGGCUAGCGUUACUCGGAAUUAUUGGGCGUAAAGCGUGCGUAGGCGGUUUUACAAGUUGGAAGUGAAAGCCCGGAGCUCAACUCCGGAAUUGCUUUCAAAACUGUUUAACUAGAGUACUGAAGAAGAUAGCGGAAUUCCUAGUGUAGAGGUGAAAUUCGUAGAUAUUAGGAGGAACACCAGUGGCGAAAGCGGCUAUCUGGUCAGAUACUGACGCUGUUGCACGAAAGCGUGGGGAGCAAACAGG